CCAAUUAGGAGUCAUCUUAAUUUAUUAGAUCAAAAUUAAUUAGGACUUUAGGAAUCCCAAUCUAAUUAGGACUCAUAUAAUUUUAGUCCUAAUCCAAUUAGGACUUUAGAAAUCCUACUCCAAGUAGAACUCUAAUUUAAUUUGAAGUCCUAAUCUAAUUAGGACUCUAGGAGUCCUACUGCAAGUAGGACUCUUAUUAAAUAAGAUCAAGCCUAUUUAAUUAAGUCCAAUUGAUUUAAUUAA
Molecule: long non-coding RNA, 243 nt
Filed under: Phoenix dactylifera (date palm)
Lineage: Eukaryota; Viridiplantae; Streptophyta; Magnoliopsida; Arecales; Arecaceae
Description: long non-coding RNA (PDAC_LNC013401)
Source: RNAcentral